Non-coding RNA from Ictidomys tridecemlineatus (thirteen-lined ground squirrel), 230 nucleotides. NCBI's taxonomy places the organism in Eukaryota, Metazoa, Chordata, Mammalia, Rodentia, Sciuridae. The record is from RefSeq and is a predicted model, not a curated record.
GCCCUCUUCCGGGAGGGUGAUGUGUGGAUCUGCAUGGAGCUCAUGGACACGUCGCUAGAUAAGUUCUACAAACAAGUGAUUGAUAAAGGCCAAACAAUUCCAGAGGACAUCUUAGGCAAGAUAGCAGUUUCUAAAGAAGCAGCAGAAAAAGAUAGAAGAGACUGUUUGUUACCUUAAUGGCUACUGAGAUUCAUGAGGGUAGAGAAAAAAGAAAAUGCUUGAGGCCAAAC